RNAcentral lists this ribosomal RNA (270 nucleotides) under uncultured bacterium. RNAcentral's name for it is "partial 16S ribosomal RNA". It matches the Rfam family "Bacterial small subunit ribosomal RNA", at positions 30 to 300 of the family's 1533-position model. The record is from RNAcentral.
AUUGAACGCUGGCGGCAUGCCUUACACAUGCAAGUCGAACGGCAGCACGGGAGCAAUCCUGGUGGCGAGUGGCGAACGGGUGAGUAAUAUAUCGGAACGUGCCCAGUCGUGGGGGAUAACGUAGCGAAAGCUACGCUAAUACCGCAUACGAUCUAUGGAUGAAAGCGGGGGAUCGCAAGACCUCGCGCGAUUGGAGCGGCCGAUAUCAGAUUAGUAGUUGGUGAGGUAAAGGCGUCACCAAGCCGACGAUCUGUAGCUGGUCUGAGAGGA